RNAcentral lists this ribosomal RNA (250 nucleotides) under uncultured bacterium. RNAcentral describes it as "partial 16S ribosomal RNA". It matches the Rfam family "Bacterial small subunit ribosomal RNA", at positions 524 to 773 of the family's 1533-position model. The record is from RNAcentral.
CACGAACCGUGCGAACGUUAUUCGGAAUCACUGGGCUUAAAGGGUGCGUAGGCGGCUUUGCAAGUGAGGUGUGAAAUCCCUCAGCUCAACUGAGGAACUGCGCUUCAAACUGCAUAGCUAGAGGGAGACAGAGGUAAGCGGAACUGAUGGUGGAGCGGUGAAAUGCGUUGAUAUCAUCAGGAACACCAGUGGCGAAGGCGGCUUACUGGGUCUCUUCUGACGCUGAGGCACGAAAGCUAGGGUAGCGAAC